GACAGGCAAUCUGGAGAGUGCCGGCACCAUUCGACGGAUACCGGCCACCGAAGGGGCAUGCGGGAGGAUCACCCCGUAAUCUCUCAGGUAAAAAGGACAGAGGGGUGAGG
RNAcentral lists this non-coding RNA (110 nucleotides) under Nitrosovibrio sp. Nv17. RNAcentral describes it as "Nitrosovibrio sp. Glycine sequence". It matches the Rfam family "Glycine riboswitch aptamer". From Rfam's summary of the family: This family represents the bacterial glycine riboswitch. Glycine riboswitches usually consist of two metabolite-binding aptamers domains with similar structures in tandem. The record is from Rfam by way of RNAcentral. Lineage: Bacteria; Pseudomonadati; Pseudomonadota; Betaproteobacteria; Nitrosomonadales; Nitrosomonadaceae.